This 492-nucleotide ribosomal RNA is filed under the name uncultured bacterium. RNAcentral's name for it is "partial 16S ribosomal RNA". It matches the Rfam family "Bacterial small subunit ribosomal RNA", at positions 29 to 507 of the family's 1533-position model. The record is from RNAcentral.
AGUGAACGCUGGCGGUAGGCCUAACACAUGCAAGUCGAACGGCAGCACAGUAAGAGCUUGCUCUUACGGGUGGCGAGUGGCGGACGGGUGAGGAAUACAUCGGAAUCUACUUUUUCGUGGGGGAUAACGUAGGGAAACUUACGCUAAUACCGCAUACGACCUACGGGUGAAAGCAGGGGAUCUUCGGACCUUGCGCGAUUGAAUGAGCCGAUGUCGGAUUAGCUAGUUGGCGGGGUAAAGGCCCACCAAGGCGACGAUCCGUAGCUGGUCUGAGAGGAUGAAUAGGCAAAACGGAAACUAGACAAGGGCCAAAACUCUAAGGGAGGGAGGAGGGGGGAAUUUUUGGAAAAUGGGGGCAGGCCUGUCCAGGCAAUCCGGGGUGGGGAAAGAAGCCUUUCGGGUGGUAAAGCCCUUUUGUUGGAAAGAAAAGGCAGCGGGUUAAACCCCGGCUGUUCGAACGUUACCAAAGAAUAAGCACCGGCUAACUUCGUG